Alexandromys fortis (reed vole) is the source of this 1528-nucleotide long non-coding RNA. RefSeq lists it as uncharacterized. NCBI's taxonomy places the organism in Eukaryota, Metazoa, Chordata, Mammalia, Rodentia, Cricetidae. The record is from RefSeq and is a predicted model, not a curated record. The transcript is spliced from 5 exons.
GCCCCGAAUCCGCCCUGCGGGUGUGCCCGGUGCAAGCCACCCCCGACCCAGGGCUGCCUGCUGCCCAGAGGUCUCCGCUCAGCAGAGGGGAAGUCAUAGGUCUCUAGCGUCAGGGAAGACAGCAACCUUUGCAGAUGGGAAAAGAAGCGCGCCUUUAGGGAGGCACGUUUGUAGAUGUAGGUGGCGGUGUGAUGAGAUUAAUUAUGCACAAAUCGCGAUUUCUGGUGUCACAUUCCAGCGCUUAGAGCUCUGGGGAAGCUCUUUGUCAGGACACCGUAUGUUAGCACCCGUGCCAGCCUCAUUAUCCCAACAGAAAGGCCCUGGGCUGGAUGGUAAUGCACGCUCUGCAGCUUCGCUCCACACUCUGGCAGCUACAACGCAUGAGCGCCUUCUCCCAAGACCAUUCUUGUACCCUGAUAUAGUAAAAUUGCUAAAUAUGGUGAAAGUUCCCUGGCGUUUCUCUCUCUGGCUGCCAUGCCAGAGUCCAGUCUGCCGGGCUUCGCUGAAUCCGAUUCUGUUGGCAUAGUACCCAGUUUUUGCAUUCAUUUAAAGAUCAUUUUAAGGGGAUCGUGAAACUGUAUAAGUCAAUGACUGAGCAAAGGCCUGAGUUACUAGUAAGUCUGUCACAGCAAGCCCGGGCUGACAUUUCUUGAAAUUAUGUUUUGGGGGCCCCGCGAUGGGGUGGGAGCCUUUUUCGGGACGGCUUAUAAUGGCACAUAAAAAUCUGCCAAUUGGUGUGGAUGUGGAUUUUCAUCUGAGAGCCCUAAAGUUCAAAUGGUCCCAGCUGCAGGACGCGCCCAGCUGCAGUAAGGGCGGGAUCCGUGGGUGGUGGGAAGGUGUGAAGGGCUUCCGGCGCGCGGGGGGGGGGGGGGGGGAGGUGCUGGUGGUGGAAAUAUUGGCCGGUCCCAGCUACUCACUGGGACGCCCCCCACUUAAAGCAGCAGACCCGCUCUGGAGUUCCCCGAGCCUUGCUACCAGGCCCCCGGAUCCCCCACCGUGUCCAGGCCACGCGCGGUAAUCAGAAGCAGGUGUCCUGGGUAACUUGGCUUGCUGAGUCUCAGAGACUCCAGGUGGCUUGUCACCUCUGCACAACUGACCUGAGUGAAGGAUUCAUGGGGCUCAGGAAGAGGACGUGUGACACCCCACCACCACCAAGAUGCCUGUUCUUAAGAAACUUAAAACUUUGUGGUCGACAUAUCAUCAUGAUACACUUGGAGGAUGCGGUGUGGCCGUUCAGCGAACAUGCUCUCCAUAAUGACCGAAGCGGGAAAAUGAUCUAUCAUUUCCUUGUACUGGGAAUCCUCCCACUUUCUAUUCUGCUUCUUUAGGUAAUAUGUAUUGAGUCGUUGUAAACCCAGUUGCUGGCUGUUCUGGAGAACUCUGGGAUUCAGUCCUGCUUCCUAACUGCAUUUGGUCCUUUCUGAUCAGCACCCAUCUCUGAAAGUACCGGAACAGGCAUUCUCUCCUGUCAUGCGCUUCCUUACGUUAUGAGAUCCGCACCAAAUUUCUCUUAUUCAUACAGCGGAGA